GUAAAUAUAGUUUAAGAAAAACAUUAGAUUGUGAAUCUAAUAAUAGAAGCCAUUAUCUUCUUAUUUACC
This 69-nucleotide transfer RNA is filed under the name Cephalophorus callipygus (Peters' duiker). Its description in RNAcentral is "Cephalophus callipygus (Peters' duiker) tRNA-His". It matches the Rfam family "tRNA". From Rfam's summary of the family: Transfer RNA (tRNA) molecules are approximately 80 nucleotides in length. RNAcentral also lists the same sequence under 1 other name. The record is from RNAcentral. Lineage: Eukaryota; Metazoa; Chordata; Mammalia; Artiodactyla; Bovidae.